GGAGGGAUGGCCGAGUGGUCGAAGGCGCACGCCUGGAGAGCGUGUAGGGGGCAACUCCUCGCGGGUUCGAAUCCCGCUCCCUCCGCCA
This 88-nucleotide transfer RNA is filed under the name Thermus antranikianii. RNAcentral's name for it is "tRNA-Ser". It matches the Rfam family "tRNA". From Rfam's summary of the family: Transfer RNA (tRNA) molecules are approximately 80 nucleotides in length. RNAcentral also lists the same sequence under 4 other names. The record is from RNAcentral. Lineage: Bacteria; Thermotogati; Deinococcota; Deinococci; Thermales; Thermaceae.